AAAGAAAAAGUGUGAAUUUUCAAGGAAAUUAAGUGAAAAAGGUGGUGAGUCAAUUGUUUCGGGUAAGAGACUGCACCCGAGGGCGGAAGAUAGGAGUAUUUCUACUCCUAAUAUUGCUCAGGACAGUUUGUAGAUAGUCGAGUAGGACGAGAACUA
RNAcentral lists this small RNA (156 nucleotides) under Theobroma cacao (cacao). RNAcentral describes it as "sRNA Tc05v2_g010900". The record is from RNAcentral. Lineage: Eukaryota; Viridiplantae; Streptophyta; Magnoliopsida; Malvales; Malvaceae.